This 427-nucleotide ribosomal RNA is filed under the name uncultured Candidatus Protochlamydia sp. RNAcentral's name for it is "bacterial SSU rRNA". It matches the Rfam family "Bacterial small subunit ribosomal RNA", at positions 355 to 774 of the family's 1533-position model. Lineage: Bacteria; Pseudomonadati; Chlamydiota; Chlamydiia; Parachlamydiales; Parachlamydiaceae. The record is from RNAcentral.
UCGAGAAUCAUUCGCAAUGGGCGAAAGCCUGACGAUGCGACGCCGUGUGAGCGAAGAAGGCCUUAGGGUUGUAAAGCUCUUUCGCCUGGGAACAAGAGAAGCUGGAUAACACCCAGCGGAUUUGAGGGUACCAGGUAAAGAAGCACCGGCUAACUCCGUGCCAGCAGCUGCGGUAAUACGGAGGGUGCAAGCAUUAAUCGGAUUUAUUGGGCGUAAAGGGCGCGUAGGCGGCUAUGAAAGUCAGAUGUGAAAUUCCGGGGCUCAACCCCGGAGCUGCAUUUGAAACUCCAUAGCUAGAGGAUAGACGGAGAAAACGGAAUUCCACAAGUAGCGGUGAAAUGCGUAGAUAUGUGGAAGAACACCGGUGGCGAAGGCGGUUUUCUAGUUUAGACCUGACGCUGAGGCGCGAAAGCAAGGGGAUCAAACA